This is a non-coding RNA of Parasteatoda tepidariorum (common house spider), 1076 nucleotides long. NCBI's taxonomy places the organism in Eukaryota, Metazoa, Arthropoda, Arachnida, Araneae, Theridiidae. The record is from RefSeq and is a predicted model, not a curated record.
AGGACAAAAGCAGGAUGACCUACACCAAUGCUUUCAUCAUGGAAAUUAUUCGCACUUCCGAGUUCGGCACCGCAUUUCCCAGUCAGCAAUGCAUCAAAGAGACAACAGUGCGUGGUUAUAAGAUUCCGAAGGGAGCUAUGACGCUUAUGAAUGUGUGGUCUUGCCAUCAUGAUCCGAACAUUUAUGAAAAUCCUGAAAAGUUCGACCCAACUCGCUUCAUUCCUGAAAACGGGAAGCAAAGACCAGAAUUGCCCAACAUAUUCGGUGUCGGUGAGUCACAAAUGUUUCCAUAAUUUUACUGUGCAAAAAUGUAAGGCUGUUCAGAAUGAACUGGUAGAAGUGACACUGGUUUGUUAACAUUAUACACCAAUGAAGAAAAUUUUGCACGCAAAUUAGAAUUCCUAUAAUCUCUUUUCUUUUGUAAUUUUUCCUCCUUAGAUUAUUCCUUAGACCACUUUUUUUGUUUAAUUUUUAAAUAUAGAAUUUAUUUUAGUAUGAAUAUGCUUAAUUCCAUUAUAUUGUUCGUUUAUUUUACUUUUCUCAGAGAAAAAGAUGCAAUGGAAAAUGAAAGUUUUUAAGUAAAAUUUGAAAGAAAUACCUCUACAUAUAUUUCAAAAUAAAUAAAUUAAUGAAUUAUUUAAAAUAAUUAUGGAACUGAAAUUUUAAAAGAAAAAAAUUUUCAUUAUUUAAUCACUGUCUAUACAUUAAUCAGACAUUAUUGGGGAAUACGGAGAAAGGUUCAAAAUAUGUUUUCAAAAUGCUACUUCAUUAGAACAUCUGAAAAUGUUUCUACGAACAAUUCUGUAUUUUUAAAAAUAGAAUGAUAUUUUCAACAAAAAAAAAGCAAUACUAUUGUUUUUUUCUUUCUUAUUACAUAAAAUAUUACAAAAAGAAAAUCAAAUAUCAGAAAAAUAUCGAAAUGAUGUAGUACUCUUUAAGUAAAAAAUAUUGAAAUUUUAUUUGAAAAUAAUAUGAAUAUUUUUUUAUUUAAAAAAGAAUAUUUCAUCAAUUACCCCAUCAUGUCUCAGGUAUGAAGCGGGACGGGGUAAAGGGGAAAAUUAAUUUAAAGAAAAAUU